GUGUUCCUUCUGGCAGCACAUAUACUAAAAUUGGAAGAAUUCAUGGCUUUUGUGCAAGGAUGACACCCAAACUCAUAAAAUAUUCCCUAUUUUU
Molecule: small nuclear RNA, 94 nt
Filed under: Rhinolophus ferrumequinum (greater horseshoe bat)
Lineage: Eukaryota; Metazoa; Chordata; Mammalia; Chiroptera; Rhinolophidae
Source: RNAcentral